This is a non-coding RNA of Hordeum vulgare subsp. vulgare (domesticated barley), 135 nucleotides long. NCBI's taxonomy places the organism in Eukaryota, Viridiplantae, Streptophyta, Magnoliopsida, Poales, Poaceae. The record is from Rfam.
UAAGUACUCCAUCCGUCUCAAAAUUCUUGUCUUAAAUUUGUUUAGAAAUGGAUGUAUCUANAUACUAAAACGUGACUAGAUAUAUUCAUAUCUAGACAAACGUACGACAAGAAUUUUGGGCGGAGGGAGUAGUUC